Oncorhynchus tshawytscha (Chinook salmon) is the source of this 240-nucleotide long non-coding RNA. RefSeq lists it as uncharacterized. NCBI's taxonomy places the organism in Eukaryota, Metazoa, Chordata, Actinopteri, Salmoniformes, Salmonidae. The record is from RefSeq and is a predicted model, not a curated record. The transcript is spliced from 3 exons.
GACGAAUUUGACACUAUCCUACCCAACGCUGGAGACAUUCUUCAGCCAAGAUGGUUGACAAAAAUACUAGGAUGGAAGCAAAUUUCAGAUGCGGGAGGGGUUUACCGACACAGCUGAUAUAACCUAGAGGAUUUAGGGAGAAGAAGUCUGUGAAGUGAAGGAGACUGAUAUUGAGAAAAGGACCUGAGCCCUAGGACCAUGCCCCAGGACUACCUGACAUGAUGACUCCUUGCUGUCCCC